This 548-nucleotide ribosomal RNA is filed under the name Ochromonas sp. CCMP1393. Its description in RNAcentral is "partial Bacterial small subunit ribosomal RNA". It matches the Rfam family "Bacterial small subunit ribosomal RNA", at positions 1 to 551 of the family's 1533-position model. The record is from RNAcentral. Lineage: Eukaryota; Chrysophyceae; Chromulinales; Chromulinaceae.
AUGAAGAGUUUGAUCCUGGCUCAGGAUGAACGCUAGCGGGAGGCUUAAUACAUGCAAGUCGAGGGGUAGAUAUCUUUCGGGAUAUUGAGACCGGCGAACGGGUGCGUAACGCGUAUGCAACUUGCCUUACACUGGGGGAUAGCCCGGAGAAAUCCGGAUUAAUACCCCAUAAUAUUAUCGAAUCGCCUGUUUUGAUAAUUAAAGAUUUAUUGGUGUAAGAUGGGCAUGCGUCUGAUUAGCUAGUUGGUAAGGUAACGGCUUACCAAGGCAACGAUCAGUAGCGGGUCUGAGAGGAUGAUCCGCCACACUGGUACUGAGACACGGACCAGACUCCUACGGGAGGCAGCAGUGAGGAAUAUUGGACAAUGGAGGCAACUCUGAUCCAGCCAUGCCGCGUGAAGGAAGACUGCCCUAUGGGUUGUAAACUGCUUUUAUAUGGGAAGAAUAAGUAGUACGUGUACUACGAUGACGGUACCAUACGAAUAAGCACCGGCUAACUCCGUGCCAGCAGCCGCGGUAAGACGGAGGAUGCAAGUGUUAUCCGGAAU